GCCUUCGUGGUGUAGUGGUCAGCACGCUCGACGUGUAACCGAGAGGUCCGUGGUUCGAUUCCCUGCGAAGGCG
RNAcentral lists this transfer RNA (73 nucleotides) under Stegodyphus mimosarum. RNAcentral's name for it is "tRNA-Thr for anticodon UGU". It matches the Rfam family "tRNA". From Rfam's summary of the family: Transfer RNA (tRNA) molecules are approximately 80 nucleotides in length. Their secondary structure includes four short double-helical elements and three loops (D, anti-codon, and T loops). The record is from Rfam by way of RNAcentral. Lineage: Eukaryota; Metazoa; Arthropoda; Arachnida; Araneae; Eresidae.